This 285-nucleotide long non-coding RNA is filed under the name Struthio camelus australis. RNAcentral's name for it is "lncRNA (ENSSCUG00000006392.1)". The record is from RNAcentral. Lineage: Eukaryota; Metazoa; Chordata; Aves; Struthioniformes; Struthionidae.
UUUAUCUUUCAUCCUGAAGACCCACAGUGCCUUAUCUACUGUGUCAACAGACCUCGGCCUGGACUGCCGUGACGCCUUUGGGGUGCGGGCGCGCCGCAGCCAGCCAGGACGGAGCCUGGAGGCGCAAGAGGAAGGAGGAUACCGCCAUAGGGCACCUGGGGGUCAAAUGAGAAGAAAAAACGCUGGGGAAGCUUGGAGAAAAUCUACCGCACUGCUGUGAAAAACGUCAGUGGCUGGCUGUCCAUAAAAGGCUAUAAAUUAGCCCUUUACAAUUUUGGAAAUUCA